This 756-nucleotide long non-coding RNA is filed under the name Homo sapiens (human). RNAcentral describes it as "HSALNT0385420". Lineage: Eukaryota; Metazoa; Chordata; Mammalia; Primates; Hominidae. The record is from RNAcentral.
AUGGCUGCUAGCAGUAUGGAUGACAUUCUGGUUAUCACUGGAUUCAAUACAUGCUUGAGCAUAGUCUUCUCCUCGGGUGGUAUGCUUAAUAAUGCCAUAGUCUCUAUAAGGAACGUAUGCAUUAGUCUGCUGGCAGGAAUUGUUUUGGGAUUUUUUGUUCGAUAUUUUCCAAGUGAAGACCAAGCAGCCAACGUAUUGGUUUACAUGGAUCUGGAGGAUUAUGCACACUAGUGUUGAGUUUCAUUGCAGGGACAAAAUGGUCCCAAGAAAAGAUGAAAGUCCAAAAGAUUAUUACAAAUGUAUGGGAUAUUUUUCAACCACUUCUUUUUGGUUUAGUUGGAGCAGAAGUAUCUGUUUCAUCGCUUGAAUCAAAUAUUGUUGGCAUAUCUGUUGCCACUCUUGAGUUUGGCAUUAUGUGUUCGAAUUUUAACCACAUAUCUAUUGAUGUGCUUUGCUGGUUUUAGUUUUAAGGAGAAAAUAUUUAUUGCUUUAGCAUGGAUGCCCAAAGCUACAGUACAGGCUGUGUUAGGUCCUCUGGCUCUAGAAACAGCAACAGUCUCCGCACCCCACUUGGAACCAUAUGCAAAGGAUGUGAUGACAGUAGCAUUUUUAGCCAUCUUGAUCACAGCUCCAAAUGGAGCUCUACUUAUGGGCAUUCUGGGGCUUAAAAUGCUCACACGCCAUUAUGAUCCAAGCAAAAUAAUACUGCAAUUGCCAGCAUUAGAACAUCAUUAAAAAGUUUACCUGUCAUCAUCU